AACGCACAUUGCGCCCUUUGGUAUUCCGAAGGGCAUGCCUGUUCGAGCGUCAUUAUCACCUCUCAAGCCUGGCUUGUUGUUGGACUUCAGGUCUGGGCUCGCCCCGACCGGUCCCAAAAGUAAUGACGGCGUCCGUGGGACUCUCGGUGCAACGAGCUUUCUUAAGCACGCACAGAGUCGAAAGGUCCCCCGGCACGGUCUUUUAACCAUUCUUCUAAGGUUGACCUCGGAUCAGGUAGGAAUACCCGCUGAACUUAA
This 258-nucleotide unclassified non-coding RNA is filed under the name Tricladium sp. Its description in RNAcentral is "partial contains 5.8S ribosomal RNA, internal transcribed spacer 2, and large subunit ribosomal RNA". The stretch from base 1 to 52 matches the Rfam family "5.8S ribosomal RNA", at positions 103 to 154 of the family's 154-position model. Lineage: Eukaryota; Fungi; Ascomycota; Leotiomycetes; Helotiales; Tricladiaceae. The record is from RNAcentral.